CAUGCAGUCGAGCGCGAAUAGGGGCAACCCUUAGUAGAGCGGCGCACGGGUGCGUAACACGUGGAUAAUCUGCCUGGAUGCCUGGGAUAACCAGUCGAAAGAUUGGCUAAUACCGGAUAAGCCCACGGUCUCUUCGGAGGCUGAGGGAAAAGGUGGCCUCUGUAUACAAGCUAUCACAACCAGAUGAGUCCGCGGCCCAUCAGCUAGUUGGCGGGGUAAUGGCCCACCAAGGCGACGACGGGUAGCUGGUCUGAGAGGACGAUCAGCCACACUGGAACUGAGACACGGUCCAGACUCCUACGGGAGGCAGCAGUGGGGAAUUUUGCGCAAUGGGCGAAAGCCUGACGCAGCAACGCCGCGUGUGUGAUGAAGGUCUUUGGAUUGUAAAGCACUUUCGACCGGGACGAAACCGUAAAGCCUAAUACGCUUUGCCUUGACGGUACCGGGAGAAGAAGCACCGGCUAACUCUGUGCCAGCAGCCGCGGUAAUACAGAGGGUGCAAGCGUUGUUCGGAAUUAUUGGGCGUAAAGCGCGUGUAGGCGGCUUUGCAAGUCGGGUGUGAAAGCCCUCAGCUCAACUGAGGAAGUGCGCCCGAAACUGCAGAGCUUGAGUGCCGGAGAGGGUGGCGGAAUUCCCC
Molecule: ribosomal RNA, 637 nt
Filed under: Corallococcus sp.
Lineage: Bacteria; Pseudomonadati; Myxococcota; Myxococcia; Myxococcales; Myxococcaceae
Description: bacterial SSU rRNA
Rfam family: Bacterial small subunit ribosomal RNA
Source: RNAcentral